UAAUUGCACAAAACUCAAAGGUUCACUG
Molecule: small RNA, 28 nt
Filed under: Bombyx mori (domestic silkworm)
Lineage: Eukaryota; Metazoa; Arthropoda; Insecta; Lepidoptera; Bombycidae
Description: ovarian small RNA-19916
Source: RNAcentral